UACGUAGGGCGCAAGCGUUGUCCGGAAUUAUUGGGCGUAAAGAGCUCGUAGGCGGUUUGUCGCGUCUGCUGUGAAAGCCCGGGGCUCAACCCCGGGUCUGCAGUGGGUACGGGCAGACUAGAGUGCAGUAGGGGGAGACUGGAAUUCUGGUGUAGCGGUGAAAUGCGCAGAUAUCAGGAGGAACACCGAUGGCGAAGGCAGGUCUCUGGGCUGUUACUGACGCUGAGGAGCGAAAGCAUGGGGAGCGAACAGGAUUAGAUACCCCGUAGUCC
Molecule: ribosomal RNA, 272 nt
Filed under: uncultured bacterium
Lineage: Bacteria
Description: partial 16S ribosomal RNA
Rfam family: Bacterial small subunit ribosomal RNA
Source: RNAcentral